RNAcentral lists this transfer RNA (69 nucleotides) under Myotis levis. Its description in RNAcentral is "tRNA-Gly". Lineage: Eukaryota; Metazoa; Chordata; Mammalia; Chiroptera; Vespertilionidae. The record is from RNAcentral.
GUUCUUUUAGUAUUAAUCAGUACAGCUGACUUCCAAUCAGCCAGUCUUGGAAAGCUCCGGGAAAGAAUA